This 29-nucleotide transfer RNA is filed under the name Neoheterandria cana. RNAcentral's name for it is "partial tRNA-Thr". The record is from RNAcentral. Lineage: Eukaryota; Metazoa; Chordata; Actinopteri; Cyprinodontiformes; Poeciliidae.
GCAUUAGUAGCUCAGUCUUUAGAGCAUCG